RNAcentral lists this ribosomal RNA (514 nucleotides) under Oenanthe isabellina (Isabelline wheatear). RNAcentral's name for it is "partial 16S ribosomal RNA". It matches the Rfam family "Bacterial large subunit ribosomal RNA", at positions 1922 to 2597 of the family's 2925-position model. Lineage: Eukaryota; Metazoa; Chordata; Aves; Passeriformes; Muscicapidae. The record is from RNAcentral.
GUUUAACGGCCGCGGUAUCCUAACCGUGCAAAGGUAGCGCAAUCAAUUGUCCCAUAAAUCGAGACUAGUAUGAAUGGCUAAACGAGGUCUUAACUGUCUCUUGCAGGCAAUCGGUGAAAUUGAUCUCCCUGUGCAAAAGCAGGGAUAAACCCAUAAGACGAGAAGACCCUGUGGAACUUUAAAAACAGCAGCCACCUCAAAUAGCAUAACCCCCCACUGGGCUCACUCACACAUAAGCCGCUGGCCUGCAUUUUUUCGGUUGGGGCGACCUUGGAGAAAAACAAAUCCUCCAAAAAUUAGACCACACCUCUAGACCAAGAGCAACCUCUCAACGUGCUAAUAGCAACCAGACCCAAUAUAAUUGAUCAAUGGACCAAGCUACCCCAGGGAUAACAGCGCAAUCUCCUUUAAGAGUCCAUAUCGACAAGGAGGUUUACGACCUCGAUGUUGGAUCAGGACAUCCUAGUGGUGCAGAAGCUACUAAGGGUUCGUUUGUUCAACGAUUAACAGUCCU